Molecule: ribosomal RNA, 448 nt
Filed under: uncultured bacterium
Lineage: Bacteria
Description: bacterial SSU rRNA
Rfam family: Bacterial small subunit ribosomal RNA
Source: RNAcentral
AGCGAACGCUGGCGGCAGGCCUAACACAUGCAAGUCGAACGAACUCUUCGGAGUUAGUGGCGGACGGGUGAGUAACACGUGGGAACGUGCCUUUAGGUUCGGAAUAACUCAGGGAAACUUGUGCUAAUACCGAAUGUGCCCUUCGGGGAAGAUUUAUCGCCUUUAGAGCGGCCCGCGUCUGAUUAGCUAGUUGGUGAGGUAAAGGCUCACCAAGGCGACGAUCAGUAGCUGGUCUGAGAGGAUGAUCAGCCACAUUGGGACUGAGACACGGCCCAAACUCCUACGGGAGGCAGCAGUGGGGAAUCUUGCGCAAUGGGCGAAAGCCUGACGCAGCCAUGCCGCGUGAAUGAUGAAGGUCUUAGGAUUGUAAAAUUCUUUCACCGGGGACGAUAAUGACGGUACCCGGAGAAGAAGCCCCGGCUAACUUCGUGCCAGCAGCCGCGGUAAU